This 253-nucleotide ribosomal RNA is filed under the name uncultured bacterium. RNAcentral's name for it is "partial 16S ribosomal RNA". It matches the Rfam family "Bacterial small subunit ribosomal RNA", at positions 524 to 776 of the family's 1533-position model. The record is from RNAcentral.
AACGUAGGACGCAAGCGUUAUCCGGAGUUACUGGGCGUAAAGCGCGGGCAGGCGGCUCGAAACGUCUGAUGUGAAAUCUCCUCGCUCAACGGGGAGAGGCCAUUGGAAACGGUCGAGCUGGAGGGCAGUAGAGGUAGGCGGAAUUCCGGGUGGAGUGGUGAAAUGCGUAGAGAUCCGGAGGAACACCAGAGGCGAAGGCGGCCUACUGGACUGGUCCUGACACUCAUGAGCGAAAGCGUGGGGAGCGAUCCGG